GACGAACGCUGGCGGCGUGCUUAACACAUGCAAGUCGAACGGAAAGGCCCUGCUUUUGUGGGGUGCUCGAGUGGCGAACGGGUGAGUAACACGUGAGUAACCUGCCCUUGACUUUGGGAUAACUUCAGGAAACUGGGGCUAAUACCGGAUAGGAGCUCCUGCUGCAUGGUGGGGGUUGGAAAGUUUCGGCGGUUGGGGAUGGACUCGCGGCUUAUCAGCUUGUUGGUGGGGUAGUGGCUUACCAAGGCUUUGACGGGUAGCCGGCCUGAGAGGGUGACCGGCCCCAUUGGGACUGAGAUACGGGCCAGAGUCCUACGGGAGGCAGCAGUGGGGAAUAUUGCACACUGGGCGGAAGCCUGAUGCAGCAACGCCGCGUGCGGGAUGACGGCCGUCGGGUUGUAAACCGCUUUCGCCUGUGACGAAGCGUGAGUGACGGUAAUGGGUAAAGAAGCACCGGCUAACUACGUG
Molecule: ribosomal RNA, 468 nt
Filed under: uncultured bacterium
Lineage: Bacteria
Description: partial 16S ribosomal RNA
Rfam family: Bacterial small subunit ribosomal RNA
Source: RNAcentral